Molecule: non-coding RNA, 51 nt
Organism: Caenorhabditis elegans
Lineage: Eukaryota; Metazoa; Nematoda; Chromadorea; Rhabditida; Rhabditidae
Source: Ensembl
UUGGUCUGCUAAUUAUGUUUUGUAGUUUAUAGUCUAGCAGACCCAUUUUUC